This 495-nucleotide ribosomal RNA is filed under the name uncultured bacterium. Its description in RNAcentral is "bacterial SSU rRNA". It matches the Rfam family "Bacterial small subunit ribosomal RNA", at positions 28 to 520 of the family's 1533-position model. The record is from RNAcentral.
GAUGAACGCUAGCGGGAGGCCUAAUACAUGCAAGUCGAGCGGUAGAGUGACUUCGGUUGCUUGAGAGCGGCGAACGGGUGAGUAACGCGUACACAAUCUACCUUUAAGAGGGGAAUAGCCCUGGGAAACUGGGAUUAAUGCCCCAUGGCAUCACGAGACGGCAUCGUUUUGUGAUUAAAGCUGAGGUGCUUAGAGAUGAGUGUGCGUCUGAUUAGCUAGUUGGUGCGGUAACGGCGCACCAAGGCGACGAUCAGUAGGGGGCGUGAGAGCGUGGACCCCCACACGGGUACUGAGACACGGACCCGACUCCUACGGGGAGGCAGCAGUAAGGAAUAUUGGUCAAUGGAGGAAACUCUGAACCAGCCAUCCCGCGUGCAGGAAGAAUGCCCUAUGGGUUGUAAACUGCUUUUAUCUGGGAAGAAAAGUCGGGAUUUAUCCUGAUCUGACGGUACCAGAGGAAUAAGCACCGGCUAACUCCGUGCCAGCAGCCGACGG